CCCUGACAUAGGUAAGCUGAGAGUGUGCCUUGUCUUCUCAUUCUAGGGCAGGCAUUCGGUAUGAAUUGUACCAUGUCAUUGUGACAAGCAGACUGGCAGCAAUGGUUUUAUCUAACAUCAUGCCCUCUGUGUGGAUGCCUUCAGCCACCCACUCACAGUACCUGGACACAUAGGGCCUGCACUUAAUGACACCUCAGAGCCUGCUCUGCUCACAAAAGUGUCACACAGUGAGUUUCUCCCCAGGACUCCGGGCCAGAGGAUGUGAAAAAGCCUGCCAGGCAGGUAAAUCCUGAAAUAGGACACUUGUUGGGAGCCGCAGCCCCGAGCCCGGUCGCCUCACUUGGCGGACGUGAGGCCUGUAGUAAAGAGUAAAGCCUGAGGUAGAUUACCCCUCCCAUCGAGCACGUUAGUUUCCUGCUUACCGCGUAAGCAACCCGCUCAACAAUAUAGUCUGCCUGGCAACUGAUGAUGUUAGCCAAUCAGCUUGCCUUGCUUACUUUAACAUGAUUGGACACUGUAUCCGUAUAUAUACUGGUGCCACCCCUGGGGGGGAAGAAGAAGCCCGGAAGUAGAAGCCCAGAAGGAGCCGCGGGGAGCGGACCAGAGGAGGCUUCGGCUGGGAGCGAUCCCAGGGCAGGCUGUACGGAGAAGAAAAUAAAAAGAAAAGGUUGUCCACUGCCAGACUUUGUCGUGUGUCCUUCCUGCCGGCCGGGAGCGGACAUCGACAUUUGGAGGCCCGCCCGGGGACUGAUCACCCCCGCGACGUGGAAGUGGACAACGCUCCAGUACAGAGCUGCGAGACAGGAAUCGGGACGAGAACCACUGUGGAUACCGGAGAGACUGACACGGGCAACAAAGCCCUCGACUGAAGAUCAGACCUGCCCUACUGGAGAUCCAUCACAGACCAACCAACAAGAUGAAUAGAAA
This is a long non-coding RNA of Cavia porcellus (domestic guinea pig), 927 nucleotides long. RefSeq lists it as uncharacterized. The transcript is spliced from 2 exons. Lineage: Eukaryota; Metazoa; Chordata; Mammalia; Rodentia; Caviidae. The record is from RefSeq and is a predicted model, not a curated record.